CGGACGGGUGAGUAACGCGUGGGAAUAUGCCCUUCUCUACGGAAUAGCCUCGGGAAACUGGGAGUAAUACCGUAUACGCCCUUUGGGGGAAAGAUUUAUCGGAGAAGGAUUAGCCCGCGUUGGAUUAGGUAGUUGGUGGGGUAAUGGCCUACCAAGCCGACGAUCCAUAGCUGGUUUGAGAGGAUGAUCAGCCACACUGGGACUGAGACACGGCCCAGACUCCUACGGGAGGCAGCAGUGGGGAAUCUUAGACAAUGGGGGCAACCCUGAUCUAGCCAUGCCGCGUGAGUGAUGAAGGCCUUAGGGUUGUAAAGCUCUUUCAGCUGGGAAGAUAAUGACGGUACCAGCAGAAGAAGCCCCGGCUAACUCCGUGCCAGCAGCCGCGGUAAUACGGAGGGGGCUAGCGUUGUUCGGAAUUACUGGGCGUAAAGCGCACGUAGGCGGACCAGAAAGUUGGAGGUGAAAUCCCAGGGCUCAACCUUGGAACUGCCUUCAAAACUA
This 501-nucleotide ribosomal RNA is filed under the name Paracoccus sp. WH005. RNAcentral describes it as "bacterial SSU rRNA". It matches the Rfam family "Bacterial small subunit ribosomal RNA", at positions 99 to 635 of the family's 1533-position model. The record is from RNAcentral. Lineage: Bacteria; Pseudomonadati; Pseudomonadota; Alphaproteobacteria; Rhodobacterales; Paracoccaceae.